GUGGGGAAUAUUGGACAAUGGGCGAAAGCCUGAUCCAGCCAUGCCGCGUGUGUGAAGAAGGUCUUCGGAUUGUAAAGCACUUUAAGUUGGGAGGAAGGGCAGUAAGUUAAUACCUUGCUGUUUUGACGUUACCGACAGAAUAAGCACCGGCUAACUUCGUGCCAGCAGCCGCGGUAAUACGAAGGGUGCAAGCGUUAAUCGGAAUUACUGGGCGUAAAGCGUGCGCAGGCGGUUUUGUAAGAUCGAUGUGAAAUCCCCGGGCUCAACCUGGGAACUGCCUCCAAAACUGCAUGACUAGAGUACGGUAGAGGGUAGUGGAAUUUCCUGUGUAGCGGUGAAAUGCGUAGAUAUAGGAAGGAACACCAGUGGCGAAGGCGACUACCUGGACUGAUACUGACACUGAGGUGCGAAAGCGUGGGGAGCAAACAGGAUUAGAUACCCCAGUAGUCC
Molecule: ribosomal RNA, 450 nt
Filed under: uncultured bacterium
Lineage: Bacteria
Description: partial 16S ribosomal RNA
Rfam family: Bacterial small subunit ribosomal RNA
Source: RNAcentral